ACGGAGGGGGCAAGCGUUGUUCGGAAUCAUUGGGCGUAAAGGGCGCGUAGGCGGCCUGGCAAGUCGGAUGAGAAAUCCCUCGGCUCAACCGAGGAACUGCACUCGAUACUGCCGGGCUAGGGUCCGGGAGGGGAUGGUGGAAUUCCCAGUGUAGCGGUGAAAUGCGUAGAUAUUGGGAAGAACACCGGUGGCGAAGGCGGCCAUCUGGACCGGUACUGACGCUGAGGCGCGAAAGCGUGGGGAGCAAACAGGA
This 253-nucleotide ribosomal RNA is filed under the name uncultured prokaryote. Its description in RNAcentral is "partial 16S ribosomal RNA". It matches the Rfam family "Bacterial small subunit ribosomal RNA", at positions 525 to 777 of the family's 1533-position model. The record is from RNAcentral.